CGUGUAGGCGGUCAGGUAAGUGGAAUGUGAAAUGCCCCGGCUCACCCGGGGACCGGCAUCCCAAACUGCCUGGCUUGAGUAUGGGAGAGGAUGGGGGGAAUUCCUGGUGUAGCGGUGAAAUGCGUAGAUAUCAGGAGGAACACCGGUGGCGAAGGCGUCCAUCUGGCCCAAUACUGACGCUGAGGCGCGAAAGCUAGGGGAGCAAACGG
This 209-nucleotide ribosomal RNA is filed under the name uncultured Latescibacterota bacterium. RNAcentral describes it as "uncultured Latescibacteria bacterium partial 16S ribosomal RNA". It matches the Rfam family "Bacterial small subunit ribosomal RNA", at positions 568 to 775 of the family's 1533-position model. Lineage: Bacteria; Pseudomonadati; Candidatus Latescibacterota. The record is from RNAcentral.